RNAcentral lists this transfer RNA (72 nucleotides) under Allobosea sp. RAC05. RNAcentral describes it as "Bosea sp. RAC05 tRNA". It matches the Rfam family "tRNA". Rfam says of the family: Transfer RNA (tRNA) molecules are approximately 80 nucleotides in length. Their secondary structure includes four short double-helical elements and three loops (D, anti-codon, and T loops). The record is from Rfam by way of RNAcentral. Lineage: Bacteria; Pseudomonadati; Pseudomonadota; Alphaproteobacteria; Hyphomicrobiales; Alloboseaceae.
GAUCCGGUGGCCGAGGGGUUUAGGCCGGCGCCUGCAAAGCGUCUCACGCCAGUUCGAGUCUGGCCCGGAUCU